Molecule: ribosomal RNA, 520 nt
Filed under: uncultured bacterium
Lineage: Bacteria
Description: bacterial SSU rRNA
Rfam family: Bacterial small subunit ribosomal RNA
Source: RNAcentral
GGGAAUCUACCGAGCCCUGCGGAAUAGCUCCGGGAAACUGGAAUUAAUACCGCAUACGCCCUACGGGGGAAAGAUUUAUCGGGGUUUGAUGAGCCCGCGUUGGAUUAGCUAGUUGGUGGGGUAAAGGCCUACCAAGGCGACGAUCCAUAGCUGGUCUGAGAGGAUGAUCAGCCACAUUGGGACUGAGACACGGCCCAAACCCCUACGGGAGGCAGCAGUGGGGAGUAUUGGACAAUGGGCGCAAGCCUGAUCCAGCCAUGCCGCGUGAGUGAUGAAGGCCCUAGGGUUGUAAAGCUCUUUCAACGGUGAAGAUAAUGACGGUAACCGUAGAAGAAGCCCCGGCUAACUUCGUGCCAGCAGCCGCGGUAAUACGAAGGGGGCUAGCGUUGUUCGGAAUUACUGGGCGUAAAGCGCACGUAGGCGGAUAUUUAAGUCAGGGGUGAAAUCCCGGGGCUCAACCUCGGAACUGCCUUUGAUACUGGGUAUCUUGAGUAUGGAAGAGGUAAGUGGAAUUGCGAGU